Molecule: long non-coding RNA, 1209 nt
Organism: Lolium perenne
Lineage: Eukaryota; Viridiplantae; Streptophyta; Magnoliopsida; Poales; Poaceae
Source: RefSeq, a predicted model, not a curated record
CUUAGAAACAACUUUCCGAUACGACACUGCAAGGUACCAGACGGGAGGCGACAUAAUUGCCAAAUAUUUCGUAUGGAGUUUUAUUCAUUUUUGAAUGUUUCCGUAUCACCAUGCAUUUAUCUUUUGUGACGAAAGAGUAGCCUACUAUUAUUUAAGAAGGAUGCAGGCACGUGCUUCUUUUUAUUUAUGCACCAUCCUAGCAAGUAAGGAGCUCAUAAUCCCGUUUAAAAGAAAAAAAAAAGGCUUUUUAGUUUGUGAGGGAGAGCGCCCAGCAACCGGCCAGACCCAAACCUAUCUUCCCUUGGUCGUAUCCUCCUCCACACACUUCGCCUGCGCCGCCGCCCAUUCUCCUCUCCAGGCCUUCUCUCUCGGCGACCUCGUCCGGAGCAGACGGACUUCCUUCUUCUCUACUUCCGGCAAGCGCGAGCUCCUCUGGAGCCAGCUCGUUUCAGCACCCACCACCAUCGUCGACAGCCCGUGUCCGAGCUUGCCUCUUUCCUCCAGUCCUCCGUCCGGGUCAAGAUUUAUUUUGGUCGCUCCACUCAUUUGAUGCCGGCAACACCCUCCUUUAAUUCCUUUCCUUUAAUUCAUGCAGGCAGCGGAUCUCAUACCAACCAAUGGUGUUAUUUCUUCAUGAUUCCCUUGCUGAUAUUCCAGGCAAAUUCGAAGGUAUAUAAACCGGUGAAAUUGAUUGUACGGAAGCGAUGUGGGACUAUUGAACCUAGAAAAUCAAAGCUACGCUUUCGUUGGAUGGAUUUGCCGGUUGCGCGCUUUGGUGAAUAUCUGUUAGGCCUAAGAAAGAGGAAGCCCAAGUUCAUGGGCUGCGUAUGAAGGAGGUACGUCCGAUGUGAAGGCCGUUCGCGGAACCGUUUUUUCUCUCUCGACGAACCAUUUUCGUGACUAAGCGGUGGCACUGCUUGUAAAUAUUUCUAAAAAGUAUGGAUAGAUCUAAAACGGACGAAAAUAGAGGGGAGAAACCUUCCUUCCUUUAUUAGUAGGUAUAGGUAUAGAUUAGUCCUAGGGACGAUGGAUUGUUCUGCAGCCUGUAGUAUAUAGUUUGUGAAUGUAGAAACAAGGCUGGGUUGUAUGAUUUCUUAUCAGGGUAAAAAUUGUGUGGCACGGCUUAGCUGUGCACUUGUAUUGUGUUAUCUUUGUUCCAUCCUACUCUGUAAGCUUCACGUUUAUAUUUACAUGAAUACAUAUUGUUCA